RNAcentral lists this ribosomal RNA (253 nucleotides) under uncultured bacterium. Its description in RNAcentral is "partial 16S ribosomal RNA". It matches the Rfam family "Bacterial small subunit ribosomal RNA", at positions 524 to 776 of the family's 1533-position model. The record is from RNAcentral.
UACAGAGGGGGCAAGCGUUGUUCGGAAUUACUGGGCGUAAAGGGCGCGUAGGCGGCCUUCUAAGUCGAACGUGAAAUCCCUGGGCUCAACCCAGGAACUGCGUCCGAUACUGGAAGGCUUGAAUCCGGGAGAGGGAUGCGGAAUUCCAGGUGUAGCGGUGAAAUGCGUAGAUAUCUGGAGGAACACCGGUGGCGAAGGCGGCAUCCUGGACCGGUAUUGACGCUGAGGCGCGAAAGCCAGGGGAGCAAACCGG